CUGCUAUCGGAUUGAUACUAAGCCAUGCGAGUCAUUGUAGCAAUACAAGGCAUACGGCUCAGUAACGCGUAGUCAACCUAACCUAUGGACGGGAAUAACCUCGGGAAACUGAGAAUAAUGCCCGAUAGAACAUUAUGCCUGGAAUGGUUUAUGUUCCAAAUGAUUUAUCGCCGUAGGAUGGGACUGCGGCCUAUCAGUUUGUUGGUGAGGUAAUGGCCCACCAAGACUAUUACAGGUACGGGCUCUGAGAGGAGUAGCCCGGAGAUGGGUACUGAGACACGGACCCAGGCCCUAUGGGGCGCAGCAGGCGAGAAAACUUUGCAAUGUGCGAAAGCACGACAAGGUUAAUCCGAGUGGUUUCUGCUAAAGGAACCUUUUGUCAGUCCUAGAAACACUGAUGAAUAAGGGGUGGGCAAGUUCUGGUGUCAGCCGCCGCGGUAAAACCAGCACCUCAAGUGGUCAGGAUGAUUAUUGGGCCUAAAGCAUCCGUAGCCGGCUCUGUAAGUUUUCGGUUAAAUCUGUACGCUCAACGUACAGGCUGCCGGGAAUACUGCAAAGCUAGGGAGUGGGAGAGGUAGACGGUACUCGGUAGGAAGGGGUAAAAUCCUUUGAUCUAUUGAUGACCACCUGUGGCGAAGGCGGUCUACCAGAACACGUCCGACGGUGAGGGAUGAAAGCUGGGGGAGCAAACCGGAUUAGAUACCCGGGUAGUCCCAGCUGUAAACCAUGCAAACUCAGUGAUGCAUUGGCUUGUGGCCGAUGCAGUGCUGCAGGGAAGCCGUUAAGUUUGCCGCCUGGGAAGUACGUACGCAAGUAUGAAACUUAAAGGAAUUGGCGGGGGAGCACCACAAGGGGUGAAGCCUGCGG
Molecule: ribosomal RNA, 867 nt
Filed under: uncultured archaeon
Lineage: Archaea
Description: bacterial SSU rRNA
Rfam family: Archaeal small subunit ribosomal RNA
Source: RNAcentral